Molecule: long non-coding RNA, 367 nt
Filed under: Marmota monax (woodchuck)
Lineage: Eukaryota; Metazoa; Chordata; Mammalia; Rodentia; Sciuridae
Source: RNAcentral
GUCAUAUGAUCUGCCCAGAUUGAAUCAGGAAUGUAUACACAACUUAAAUAGACCAAUAUCAAGUGAGGAAAUAGAAGAAGCCAUCAAAAGAUUACUAACCAAGUAAAGCCUAGGACUGAUGGAUACACAGCUGAGUUCUACAAGACCUUUAAAGAAGAAGUAAUACCAAUACUCUUCAAUUUAUUUUGGGAAAUAGAAAAAGAGGGAACACUUCCAAACUCAUUCUAUGAGGCUAAUAUCACCCUGAUUCCAAAAUCAGACAAAGACACUUCAAAGAAAGAAAACUUCAGACCAAUAUCUCUAAUGAACAUAGAUGCAAAAAUUCUCAAUAAAGUUCUAGCAAAUCAAAUACAAAAACAUAUCAAAG